GUUAAAGUCUCAAUUCACACAGCGAGGGUUACUUCCUAUGUCAUAUUCUAUAUGAAACUUGUGUUUUCCUCUCAGGUUUCUGGGUUCCAGCGUGGCGGCUCGGUGGUCUGCAGGUCAACAGGAAGUGGUUCCUGCACAGCCGAACAGCAGCAGCUCCCCCUCUCUAUCACGGUGGCCCUGAACUCUGAGAUAUCUGAGAAUGUCUAUGAGGAGGACGUCCUCCAACAGCAGCUUCUCCUCCUUCGCCGUGGUUUGGAUGGGUUCUCUGCACAUGUGGUUUGAUGGACAGGAGUCCUGAUGUGAUGGACAUGUGAUGGUCCAUAGGCGUAACCACGCAUUCUUUGGGGGGGGUCGUGUCCCCCCCAAUAUUGAAAAGGCGUCACAGAGAGACGGGGAAAGAGACAGGCAAGAUGAAAGCAGUGGCCACACAGGGACAAGCUCUGGACAUGCAGAUGAUCAGGAGACUGACAGGGAAAGAGAGACAGAACCAGGCACAGGAGGCAGUGGUUUAGAUCAGCGUGAGGAGGAGCUCGGUACCUGCCCACACCAGCCCAAUACCCACUUUAUUGAAACUCAGUCCCUGGAAAAAAAAGACACUCAGAUUUCAGGACACUUGGUUUAGGCAGUACAAAUGGCUUCAUUACAGUCCCUCACUUAAUGGGAAGAAAAAAGGCAUAGUACAAGUGUUUCAACUGUGAC
Gasterosteus aculeatus aculeatus (three-spined stickleback) is the source of this 699-nucleotide long non-coding RNA. The record is from Ensembl. Lineage: Eukaryota; Metazoa; Chordata; Actinopteri; Perciformes; Gasterosteidae.